GAUGAAGAACGUAGCAAAAUGCGAUACUUGGUGUGAAUUGCAGAAUCCCGUGAACCAUCGAGUUUUUGAACGCAAGUUGCGCCCGAAGCCAUUAGGCCGAGGGCACGCCUGCCUGGGCGUCACACGUCGUUGCCCCCCCAUCUACUCCUUCGGGAUUGCGGGGGGCGGAUGAUGGCCUCCCGUGCGCCUCGUCGCGCGGUUGGCAUAAAUGCCAAGUCCUCGGCGACGCACGCCACGACAAUCGGUGGUUGCGAAACCUCGGUUGCCCGUCGUGUGCGGUCGUCGCGCAUCGAGGGCUCGAAAAAAUUGUCGGGCUCCGGCUCGGCUUUCAACGCGACCCCAGGUCAGGCGGGGUUACCCGCUGAAUUUAAGCAUAUCAAUAAGCGGAGGA
Molecule: unclassified non-coding RNA, 391 nt
Filed under: soil metagenome
Description: partial contains 5.8S ribosomal RNA, internal transcribed spacer 2, and large subunit ribosomal RNA
Rfam family: 5.8S ribosomal RNA (bases 1-122)
Source: RNAcentral